This 74-nucleotide transfer RNA is filed under the name Heterocephalus glaber (naked mole-rat). It matches the Rfam family "tRNA". Rfam says of the family: Transfer RNA (tRNA) molecules are approximately 80 nucleotides in length. Their secondary structure includes four short double-helical elements and three loops (D, anti-codon, and T loops). Further hydrogen bonds mediate the characteristic L-shaped molecular structure. tRNAs have two regions of fundamental functional importance: the anti-codon, which is responsible for specific mRNA codon recognition, and the 3' end, to which the tRNAs corresponding amino acid is attached (by aminoacyl-tRNA synthetases). tRNAs cope with the degeneracy of the genetic code in two manners: having more than one tRNA (with a specific anti-codon) for a particular amino acid; and 'wobble' base-pairing, i.e. permitting non-standard base-pairing at the 3rd anti-codon position. The record is from Rfam by way of RNAcentral. Lineage: Eukaryota; Metazoa; Chordata; Mammalia; Rodentia; Bathyergidae.
AGCCAGGUAGCUCAGUUGGUUAGAGCAUGGUACUAAGAAUGCCAAGGUUUCGAGUUCGAUCCCCAUACAGGCCA